GGUAGAGAUCUUUCGGGAUCUUGAGAGCGGCGUACGGGUGCGGAACACGUGUGCAACCUGCCUUUAUCUGGGGGAUAGCCUUUCGAAAGGGAGAUUAAUACCCCAUAAUAUAUUGAGUGGCAUCACUUAAUAUUGAAAACUCCGGUGGAUAGAGAUGGGCACGCGCAAGAUUAGAUAGUUGGUGAGGUAACGGCUCACCAAGUCUGCGAUCUUUAGGGGGCCUGAGAGGGUGAUCCCCCACACUGGUACUGAGACACGGACCAGACUCCUACGGGAGGCAGCAGUGAGGAAUAUUGGACAAUGGGUGCAAGCCUGAUCCAGGCAUCCCGCGUGAAGGACGACGGCCCUAUGGGUUGUAAACUUCUUUUGUAUAGGGAUAAACCUAGAUACGUGUAUCUAGCUGAAGGUACUAUACGAAUAAGCACCGGCUAACUCCGUGCCAGCAGCCGCGGUAAUACGGAGGGUGCAAGCGUUAUCCGGAUUUAUUGGGUUUAAAGGGUCCGUAGGCGGAUUUGUAAGUCAGUGGUGAAAUCUCACAGCUUAACUGUGAAACUGCCAUUGAUACUGCAAGUCUUGAGUGUUGUUGAAGUGGCUGGAAUAAGUAGUGUAGCGGUGAAAUGCAUAGAUAUUACUUAGAACACCAAUUGCGAAGGCAGGUUACUAAGCAACAACUGACGCUGAUGGACGAAAGCGUGGGGAGCGAACAGGAUUAGAUACCCUGGUAGUCCACGCCGUAAACGAUGCUAACUCGUUUUUGGGCUUUCGGGUUCAGAGACUAAGCGAAAGUGAUAAGUUAGCCACCUGGGGAGUACGAACGCAAGUUUGAAACUCAAAGGAAUUGACGGGGGCCCGCACAAGCGGUGGAUUAUGUGGGUUUAAUUCGAUGAUACGCGAGGAACCUUACCAAGGCUUUAAAUGGGAAAUGACAGGCUUUAGAAAUAGGCUUUUC
This 949-nucleotide ribosomal RNA is filed under the name Chryseobacterium sp. Its description in RNAcentral is "bacterial SSU rRNA". It matches the Rfam family "Bacterial small subunit ribosomal RNA", at positions 68 to 1016 of the family's 1533-position model. Lineage: Bacteria; Pseudomonadati; Bacteroidota; Flavobacteriia; Flavobacteriales; Weeksellaceae. The record is from RNAcentral.